GCCUGGAUGGCUCAGUUGGUUAAGCGUCUGACUUCGUCUCAGGUCACGACCUCACGGUUCGUGGGUUCGAGCCCCGCUUCGGGCU
RNAcentral lists this transfer RNA (85 nucleotides) under Felis catus (domestic cat). It matches the Rfam family "tRNA". Rfam says of the family: Transfer RNA (tRNA) molecules are approximately 80 nucleotides in length. Their secondary structure includes four short double-helical elements and three loops (D, anti-codon, and T loops). Lineage: Eukaryota; Metazoa; Chordata; Mammalia; Carnivora; Felidae. The record is from Rfam by way of RNAcentral.